UAGGGAAUCUUCCGCAAUGGACGCAAGUCUGACGGAGCAACGCCGCGUGAGUGAAGAAGGAUUUCGGUUCGUAAAACUCUGUUGUUAGAGGAGAACAGCGCAUAGAGUAACUGUUAUGCGUGUGACGGUAUCUAACCAGAAAGCCACGGCUAACUACGUGCCAGCAGCCGCGGUAAUACGUAGGUGGCAAGCGUUGUCCGGAUUUAUUGGGCGUAAAGCGAGCGCAGGCGGUCAAUUAAGUCUGAUGUGAAAGCCCCCGGCUCAACCGGGGAGGGUCAUUGGAAACUGGUUGACUUGAGUGCAGAAGAGGAGAGUGGAAUUCCAUGUGUAGCGGUGAAAUGCGUAGAUAUAUGGAGGAACACCAGUGGCGAAGGCGACUCUCUGGUCUGUAACUGACGCUGAGGUUCGAAAGCGUGGGUAGCAAACAGG
Molecule: ribosomal RNA, 429 nt
Filed under: Bacteroidota bacterium
Lineage: Bacteria; Pseudomonadati; Bacteroidota
Description: Bacteroidetes bacterium partial 16S ribosomal RNA
Rfam family: Bacterial small subunit ribosomal RNA
Source: RNAcentral